GGUAAUGCUGAAGAUUCUGUGGAGUUGUUUCCUUUGGUUGGUUUUGUUUGCUUGCUUGCUUUCUUCCUCUCUCCCUCCUUCUCUUCCCUUUCUUUCCUGUCUCUACCUCUCUAUUUGGGGGAUUAAAGGUAUACCACCACAUCCAGUUGAUGCUGAGGAUUUUGAUAGCAGCUGCAGUCCCAAGUCCAUGGGUUGGUAAGGAAGCCAUCCCUGUUUUCCACCUGGUGAAAACAGUUGAUGCUGAAUAUUGGGGAUCCUGGUAGCCAUGCUCCUGGAGCAAGAAAUAGCUACAGACAGGGACUGGGGUGGGUAACUGAAACACUUUAUUCUACACACUGAUAAAACUCCAAUAGCAUAGCCAUGUAGUAUAAUACUAUAGUAAAAUAGUGGUUAGUUACAUACCAUAUAAACUAGUUAUAUAAUAUAUACUACUCAUAUACAAACUAUACUGUAUCCUACAGAUACAUGUAUAUACAUGCAUACACUGUAUGUACUAAAUAAUACUAUAUUAUAUACUAUACCAAGAUACAUAAAUCUCUUUGAAUAGUUUGCAAAAAGUUUCAAUAAAAUACUACAAAAUUGUAUCUAAUAUAAAAAGACACAUUCCAUGCUUUAGCCCAGAGAAACAAUGUUUUCGCAUUGUAAAGUCAAUGCAUUGCACAGCCAUCUCCAGUGUACCAUGUACCUUUCAAAGAGACAUGAGCUCAGUACUUCCUGUACCCAAUAGUCUUUUUCUAGAUGAGUUCUAGCAUCACUUCGAAUGAAGAUGGGAAACUGAAGGUCUUGUGACAGUUCUUAAGCUCAGAAUUUCUGCAGAGUGUUUCCUUGCUUCUCAGAAAGAAGUGUAAAAUUGAAGCCUGCCCACAUUACUUAGGCCUACAGGUGUUUUCCCCUCUGGUCCUUUUUAUGCCUUUGAGGAACACUGAGAAUCUGAGUGCUUCCCCCAUGUUCCUAGUCCUAGUGUUUUAGCUAAGUAUGUGUUCUUUCACACAGCCUGAGACAGCUGUGGCAUCUGAAGCCUUACCUCUUUUCUCACAAACGUGGGCUUCCUACUGUUCAGUGUGAACCUUUUUUGUGUCCUUUAUGGAGAUUAGGAAAGCACUGGUUUUUCAUAGUCUUUACAGUCACUCUGAUGAUAUGCUGUCCAAGGAGUAGUUUCUUUGAGGGCAAAUGGAAACGGUGACAUUUACCAUAUUUAUUUGUACUCAAAGGACAUGUCUCCCGUACAAGUUUACUCAUGUUUUCAAGGCAACUGUAGUCAGUGGCUCUCCAGUGCUUGCAUUAAUAGGGAUACUCUCCAACAUGAAUUCUUUAUGGUUCUGAGGAUACCUGGAAGAAGUGAAGGAUUUACCGCAUUGUCUGCAUUCACACUGUUUCUCUCCUGCAUGAGAGUUUAUUUGAUGUGCUCUAAAUAUGCUGGGGCUGUGAAAUGUGAAAGGCUUUUUUUCACAUAUUCACAUUAAAAAGGUCAUUUCC
This 1476-nucleotide long non-coding RNA is filed under the name Mus musculus (house mouse). RNAcentral describes it as "long non-coding RNA chr11:59461494-59462970". The record is from RNAcentral. Lineage: Eukaryota; Metazoa; Chordata; Mammalia; Rodentia; Muridae.